GACGUAGGGCGCGAGCGUUGUCCGGAUUUAUUGGGCGUAAAGAGCUCGUAGGCGGCUUGUCGCGUCGACUGUGAAAACCCGCGGCUCAACUGCGGGCCUGCAUCCGAAACUGGCAGGCUAGAGUACGAAAGAGGAUCGCGGAAUUCCCGGUGUAGAGGUGAAAUUCGUAGAUAUCGGGAGGAACACCGGUGGCGAAGGCGGCGAUCUGGGUCGAUACUGACGCUGAGGUGCGAAGGCGUGGGGAGCAAACAGG
This 253-nucleotide ribosomal RNA is filed under the name uncultured bacterium. Its description in RNAcentral is "partial 16S ribosomal RNA". It matches the Rfam family "Bacterial small subunit ribosomal RNA", at positions 524 to 776 of the family's 1533-position model. The record is from RNAcentral.